UGUGUUACACAUUGAUUAGGUGCAGCAUAGAACUGCUGCAUGGGAAUCUGGUGAAAAUCCAGAGCUGACGCGCAGCGGUGAAGGUGCAAGUGAGUGCUUCAAUGUAGCCACUGAGAGUAUAAAAACUCUUGGGAAGGUGAGGCAAUUACUCUCGCGUAGAGCACCCCAGUCCGAAGACCGGCCUAAUCAGAAACAUGUGC
This is a regulatory RNA element of Corynebacterium diphtheriae NCTC 13129, 200 nucleotides long. The record is from Rfam. Lineage: Bacteria; Bacillati; Actinomycetota; Actinomycetes; Mycobacteriales; Corynebacteriaceae.